ACAGCAAAUUUAGCAGAGUUAAAAUUACGGUGUUAAUGGAAAUAUAAAGAGUUCGGAGUUAAUUUAACACUGGAUUGAGUUAAAACUAUUUUAUUUAACUCUAUAAAAAUAAAGAGUUGGUGUCAAAACAGAGUGUUACCACUUUUUAAAAAAAUCAACUCCUAGAGUGUUUUGUUAGUGGAGUUUGUUAACUCUUAGGGUGUUAAAUAGAGAAGACCUCCCACUUUUUACAGCACACACUGAACCGUGUUUUUGGAUGAUGCAGUUCAAGCAGAAGAUCAUCUCUUUCACUGUAAAUGGAGAUUUGCUUUGGGGACUUUAGAGGAGCACAGACAUAGGCCUACAUGAAAAUUUCUUCAGACGAAGAGCAAUUUUAUAACAAAAAAAGUUCAAUAUCCAGUCUGAAGGUCUGACCGUCGAGGAUCAUAUCACCUCCUUACAGCUACUGGUUCAUCAUAUUCUGCUGUUAAUAUGUGAAGACCAACAUGGAUUUUGGAUUGAAAUGAAGUCAGACUUGUUUGUAUGAACUGAAGCAUCGCAUAAACUGUGUUUACUGUUGUUAUACAUUGGGAAUGUGCUUUUUAGUUGUCUCGGAUGUUAAUAUGUUAAUUUAAUGAACACUUAAAUGCAUGAUACAUUGAGGACAAUUUUUCUGUCAUAAAUCAAUGUUGAUCAGAUGACAUUAAACAA
Misgurnus anguillicaudatus (oriental weatherfish) is the source of this 690-nucleotide non-coding RNA. Lineage: Eukaryota; Metazoa; Chordata; Actinopteri; Cypriniformes; Cobitidae. The record is from RefSeq and is a predicted model, not a curated record.